GAUGAACGCUGGCGGCGUGCCUAAUACAUGCAAGUCGAGCGAACAGACGAGGAGCUUGCUCCUCUGACGUUAGCGGCGGACGGGUGAGUAACACGUGGAUAACCUACCUAUAAGACUGGGAUAACUUCGGGAAACCGGAGCUAAUACCGGAUAAUAUAUUAAACCGCAUGGUUCAAUAGUGAAAGACGGUUUUGCUGUCACUUAUAGAUGGAUCCGCGCCGCAUUAGCUAGUUGGUAGGGUAACGGCUUACCAAGGCAACGAUGCGUAGCCGACCUGAGAGGGUGAUCGGCCACACUGGAACUGAGACACGGUCCAGACUCCUACGGGAGGCAGCAGUAGGGAAUCUUCCGCAAUGGGCGAAAGCCUGACGGAGCAACGCCGCGUGAGUGAUGAAGGUCUUCGGAUCGUAAAACUCUGUUAUUAGGGAAGAACAAAUGUGUAAGUAACUAUGCACGUCUUGACGGUACCUAAUCAGAAAGCCACGGCUAACUACGUG
Molecule: ribosomal RNA, 497 nt
Filed under: uncultured bacterium
Lineage: Bacteria
Description: partial 16S ribosomal RNA
Rfam family: Bacterial small subunit ribosomal RNA
Source: RNAcentral